This 492-nucleotide ribosomal RNA is filed under the name uncultured bacterium. RNAcentral describes it as "partial 16S ribosomal RNA". It matches the Rfam family "Bacterial small subunit ribosomal RNA", at positions 29 to 507 of the family's 1533-position model. The record is from RNAcentral.
AGUGAACGCUGGCGGUAGGCCUAACACAUGCAAGUCGAACGGCAGCACAGUAAGAGCUUGCUCUUACGGGUGGCGAGUGGCGGACGGGGGAGGAAUACAUCGGAAUCUACUUUUUCGUGGGGGAGAACGUAGGGAAACUUACGCUAAUACCGCAUACGACCUACGGGUGAAAGCAGGGGAUCUUCGGACCUUGCGCGAUUGAAUGAGCCGAUGUCGGAUUAGCUAGUUGGCGGGGUAAAGGCCCACCAAGGCGACGAUCCGUAGCUGGUCUGAGAGGAUGAUCAGUCACACUGGAACUGAGACACGGUCCAGACUCCUACGGGGGGCAGCAGUGGGGAAUAUUGGACAAAGGGCGCAAGCCUGAUCCAGCCAUACCGCGUGGGUGAAGAAGGCCUUCGGGUUGUAAAGCCCUUUUGUUGGGAAAGAAAAGCAGCAGGUUAAUACCCCGCUGUUCUGACGGUACCCAAAGAAUAAGCACCGGCUAACUUCGUG